CGGCCGGGUUCGAUACGGUGCAUGUUGUCAGUGGCCCUGAAGCCCAACAGAAGAAGGAGGAGACAUUGUAAACAGAAGAUUAGUCAUGUAUUUUAAGACAAAAUUUGAUGUCCCGCAGCUGACAAGGUUUGCAGCACACUGCUAUAAUGACUGCAGACAGUGGCUACCUACAGCACUCUCUCAUCAAACAUCUUGAGGGCAUUCAUGUCAACUAUGGCAAGACUUCAUAACAGUAACAUGCAACAGGUGUUUGAUGACUUGCCCAUAUGCCUCUUCUUGCCAAGUAUUUGACCCAGGAUUGUGUCAGCAUGUACUGAGGGGCCAGCAAGAUGAUUACUGAAUGAAGAUGGCAGAGAGAGUGUCACAUUAUAUGGAAGACACCUGAGGGCUUAAUCCCAAGCCUGUGUACCACCAUAACAACAUACUGGAGUAAGAGCAAAAAGGCACAAUACCAUAAAUGGAACAAUACACAACCCACAUAUAGGAGAGAGGAGCUACGACGGUGUUUCGGUCCAACUUGGACCAUUUACAAAGUACUGGAGUGAAAGAGAUGGAUCUAAACACUACCAUAAAAAUUAACUGGAAUGAGAGAGAUAUUAACCCUUAAAUGGUCCAAACGUAUAUAUACGUUUUUUCAACAUCUGAAAGUAUGUAAAAAAAUGUAGAUCUUUUUUGUUUUACAUUUGAAAACGUGUAAAAAAAACUUUUAUCUACAUUUUUUUUUGUUAUAUUUGAAAAUAUGUAAAAAAAAAAGUAGAUCUACUUUUGUAGCAUUAUGAAUUUGAACAUCGAUCUGUUUGGACCGUUUAAGGGUUAAGUUAAAAAUAGACCCAGUGAAAAGCAGGGAUGUCUUGGGCACAAUUAGGCAACACUGUGUCAACAUCCAUAAUCCAAGACUAUUCAGUCUGCUACCAGCAGAUAUCAGAAAUUUUGCCAGAACAAGUGUAGUUUUUAAUAGGAGACCACUAUCUGCCAGAUCACUCAGGCUGUAAAGGAACCUGUCCUCUACCCUAGUUGCUAUAGUACCCAUACAGGUUUAGCACUCCUCUCUCUAGUGUAAUAGUGGGUGAGUGGGGUAUAGGUAUUUGUGCCUUGACACCAGUGAUGGGAUCUUGAGCCAUGGAAUAGGAGCUUACCUCCCUGUCCUUGGACUAAAUAUGAUUGCAUCCCAUACUCCCAAGGCAAUGUAUGACCUUUUAAGUGUUUAUUGCUCCCUCAUGAAUGAAAAAAAAUAGGCUUUUUUCAUCACAAAAAUCCCUGAAUGGACCGUAUUUUAACUGCCUUAACCUUUCUGCCUUUGUUAUGAUUUAUAUAAUUACUGGGAUGCUUGUAGGAACUUCAGGGGGACUUUUUAAUUACUGGGAUGAUACAUGGUAAUCUCUCCAAUAGUCUAUUUGGAUUUCACAAGGGCCGCUUAACUAUUGACCCCUUACUCCGCUUAGAUACCUAUUUUCAUAAUGCCUUUGCUAGUAACAUUCAGUUAUUGCAGUCUUUUUUGAUCUUGAAAAGUCAUAUGACAUUACUUGUAGAUAUAACAACUUGGCCCAAUCUCAUUCCUUAGGCCUCUGAGGCAGUCUGCCAUUUUUCCUUAAAAACUUCUUAUCUGAGAGACAUUUCCAUGUUUGGGUAAAUAAUUUGCUUUUUCCGGACUUUGUCCAAGCUGAAGGUGUUCCUCAGGAAUGUGUACUUUCCACACUUUUUCUCCUUGCUAUAAAUUAUCUGGCAGUGUAUGACCUUUGUCGGUUUAGUGAUUUCUUUGAUUAUAAUAAAUGAUCUAGCCUUUGUUCUCCUAUCUAAUAUUUGGUAAUCACUGUAUGUUGAUGACUGCCACAUAAGUAGCACCAUCCAGGAUGUUGUCAACUGUGUUUCCCAUUGGGCCACUACUCAUGGGUUUAAAUUUUCUGGUGCUAAAAUGCACCAAAUUACUUUCACCAGAUGUUCUAUUGUCUCUGAUACUCCAUUAUACCUGUAUGGCUCCCAUAUCCCUGAAUGUGAUAUGAUCAGAUUUCUCAUCCUUCUGUUUGAUCACUGGCUGUCCUGAAAACCUCUCAUUACCUGCCUGAAAGCAACUUGCCAUAGCCGGCUGAACCUCCUUAGAACCCUCGCUCAUCUUUCGUGGGGGUGGAUCGUAAAAACCACCUUCAGUCCUAAUUUUAUUGAAACUAGACUAUGGGGACCAGUAUAUUCUGCAGCCUCCCCCACAAUUCUCUAAACUUGAUCCCAUCUAUCAUCAGGGACUACAUUAAUGUCUAGGUGCUUUUCGCUCCUCACAAUCGCCGUGAUACCCAUUGCCUCUUGUUGUUUUGUCUGCUCUUGUGACCUUCACAGUCCUUCUACAUACAGGCUAGUAACGGACAUUAGUAGAGGUCCAUUAUUUGUUCAUUCCAUCCCUUUGCUCUUUGUCUUCACUCUUAACUUCUCUUCAGUUGCCCCCUCUAUAUGUUCAUCUAGCAUCUAGGUCUGUCCUCCCCCUCAUGUCUAUUUUUCCCCACUGCCGUGCAUGAAGGUUCAAAUACCUACAGUUGCAUCUUGCUCCCUUUUUCUCAACCACUUCCAGUCUCAUUCUCAUGCCAUUGCAGUGUACAUUGAUGGUUCUAAAUCCUCUCAUGGUGCCAGGUUUGCAGCAUUGUAUGCGGUCAUUUAUUAGACUUCACAUUUUUACAGUUGACCUGGCAGUUCUCAUUGCAAUUAUCCAUAUUGCAUCUAAGUCUGCCUAAACAUUUGUAGUAGUCUCUGACUAGUGCUUUGCAAGCUAUUAAAAAAUUUGAUUUGCCUUAUCCCCUAGUUCUUAUACAACUUUGUGCUGCAUUUGUAGCAGAAUCAAAGAAUAUUCUGCUGAGUCCCUGGUCAUAUUGAUGUUCAGGGCAAUGAGUAGGCGGACUGCUGUAAUCUUUAACCUCACAUCAGCCGUUGGUCUGAUAUGACUAAUAAAUAUUCCAUCAAGCCAUGUUUAGGUUUCUGGCCUUAUCAGUGAUACUGAGAUUGGGAGACUACGCUCUCCCAUCUUACUCAUGAGUAUCUCGUGGACGUGCCCUGUUUCACUCUGAAGUUCCAAUUUCAGUGUGCCACAUUCAACAAGCAUGCAAAAUUUACCUCCAUUACCACUAACACCCUUUAGCUUGCCUCCUUCCUCUCCCCCUUUGACUUGUAGGUUUAGCACUUUUUUUUUUUAUUAUAUUCCUUGACUUUUUGACAGCAUCCAAUUUAUUACACAAACUUUGAUAAUACUUCAACACUCCUCACAGCCCUUUUUAACUCUUGUUCUUCUCUUCUUCCCUGGUUCUCCUCUCCAGCAACAUCCCCGUCUCUCAUUGCUGUAUGACCCUGGUGGGUUUAGGGCUUUUUUUUAUUACAAGUCUUGGUGUUCUCUCUCAUGGCAGUAAUUUCAUAUCUAGCAGGCAGUGUGUUUGAUGCACUUUCGUUUGAUCAAGUGUAUUAUUAUUAUUAUAAUCAAGGGGGAAGCGCUAAACCCGGAGGAUUAUACAGCGCCUGGGGGGGGGGAUGUGGAAGGCAUUCAGGCUUAAUUCAGGGAACUGGAGCACAGAUCCAAUUCCCUAAAUCAAGAGCCCCUCACCAACAUCAAGGAACCUUCUUUGUGUAAUCCUUUUGAUUUUGUCUGGUGUUAGGGCUUGCCAAUAUGAACUUAAAAAUGUAGCAUAAGAUAUCUUAAAACCUUUUGUAAUUGAUGUUUGUCUAUUUUAGCCUUUCCCACUUUUGAAGAACUCCCAGUCUGAGGAAUUUUAUAUACCCUAGUGGGUUUAGUGCUUGGUUUUGAUCAUGCCAGAAAAUCUAUGGGAAUUUCACUCCAAUUUACUAUGCUGAUUGCAACUGUAUUUUUGUGACAGGCACUUUUCACAACUCAGGUGGGUGGACAGUGAACACAUGACAUUCUAGGUUUUAUUACAGAAUGAAAAUACCACACACCUCAACUGCAACUUUUCAUAUAAAAAUAAAGGGUCAAAGCACUGUGCAACUUUCCAUAACUGCAUUGAAAAUUGAUGCAUUAUAAUGGCCUUUCCAUCCACUUUUCAAUUGCAACCCAGAAAAAUUCCACAACUCAGAAUCUGAGAGAACUACAAAAUUUAUGCUAACACGCAUGCCCUCAAUCUCAAGAUGGUGGAUAAAUGAACAGGGAUUAAGCAUGCUGAACUAAAGACAAGGAGCCUUCCACAAAAUUAAGGCAAAUUACUCUACAAACCUUGUUGAUUUAUCCACUAAGAUUCUCAUGUAUCUAAUAAGCUAACAUAGGACAACUAAGCACUAAACCUACAAGGGUCAUACAGCACUGCAGUGCAGUGAAAAAUAAAAGCACUUGAAGUGUAUACACGUCAGCCAUCUCCCGAGGCAGGGUGACUCAAAAUAGAACACUUUCACCAUCAUUCAUACAGUGUCUUUGCAGAGGUGCUUAGAUACAACAGUUUAGAUGCCACUCCAAAUAGCCGGUAUCUCAAACCCCUGGAAAGUGCUUCUCACCUCCAGGACUCGAGUCUGGCUAAUUGCCAGACUGAGUCAUGUCCCAAAAACCCAUUUGUCUCUAGUCACAUGCUCACACAUGCCUGCUGUAUGUCCAAGCCUCUUGCACACAAAACUUCCUUUACCCCUCCCUCCAUCAUGCACCCUCCAAAUCCUAUUUUGGUCCAUCCUCUAAAUGACCAAAUCUCUUUUCAGCCCUCUGAAUAAUGCUUUUAAUAACUCCACACCUAACUUCCAAACUAUGAAUUCUCUGCAUAAUAUUUAUGCCACACAUUGCUCUCAGACACAUCUCCACUGCUUCCAGCCUCCCCACUGUAACAUUUACAACCCAUGCUUCACACCCAAAUAAGUGUUGGUACCACUAUACUCUCAUAUUUGCCAUUUGGAGGGUCAUCUAAACUGUCGUAUAUAUGCUCCUCUGGCAAGACAGUGGUAGUAUGAAUGAUGGCGAGUGAUUUUUUCAGGUCACCCUACUUCAGGAGACAGCCUGUAUUUAUGUGCAUCCUGAGUCCAAUGACUGUUGAACUUGUACUGAUUGUCUCUGUAUUUAGAGUGGGCUUGGCAAAAACCAUACUUUGGUUUUACAGGGAUGCAAGAUUGCAGAUUGGUGGAGGCAGCCAAGAAUGUGAAGUUGAUGGCUACCACUGGAGAGGCACUCAGAACAACUUCAUAUUCAACCUGAAAAUUAAUACCAUAAUGUAAUUCAUAUGGCUCAUUAAUGCUGCAAUUUACUCCUACACUAUCAAAAAAACUGUACUUUAAUAACAAAAAUAUGGAAAGCUCCUAGCAAAAUGUACUACAACUUUCUGAUCUUGUUCCAGCACUGACCCACUAUUGGUAAAGAAAACUUUUAAUUAAGAAUGGAACAAUACCAAUUUUUUUGCCAAUCCACUACUAAAUUUUAGUCCAUUACUAAUAAUAACAUCAAAAUUAGCCAAUACUAAUUGGUACCAAUGCUGAUACCAUCAAAAUUUUCUCAUACUAACUGAUCCCAGUACUAAUACGAAUAUCAAAAUUUCCUGAUACUAGCUGAUCUCUGUACCAAGUACAGUGGAACCUCUUACUUGCGAGUUUAAUCCAUUCCAUGACCUUGCUCACAACUGGAUUUGCUCGUUUGCAGAGUCAAUUUUCCUCAUUUAAAUUAAUUGAAAUGCAAUUAAUCCGUUCCAGUGGAAUUUUGUACUUCAAUAAUUUCGCUAAUAUCAACUCUACAGCUUAUUUAUCUAUCAGAGUUCAUCUAAUAUGACAUAAACAAUAUGAAUAACACAGAAACAUGAUAUAUACUCUAGAAUGAAUAAAAUAUGUCAUUCAUGUAGUGGUAUGAGCGGUGUCGGCGGUGGACAAGAGUUUGGAGACCGGGCAAAAUACUUCAUGAAUAAUUUCGCUAAUAUCAUCUAUAUGGCUUAUUUAUCUAUCACAGUUCAUCUGACAUAACAAUAUAAAUAAAAUAGAAACAUGAUAUAUACUCUACAAUGAAUAAAAUAUGUCAUUAUGUAACAGGUAGAGGCGGCCACAACCGCUCCCUCUUUGUUGUGGUAAACACUGCCAUGUAGUGAUGGCCUUUUGAAGCUAUUAUUAUAUGUAGUACAUUAUUAUUAUUAUAAGUAUUAUUAUACAUAUUAUUAUUAUUGUAUUAUAUUAUUAUACAAUUAUGAGGAAGGGUUGUUGAGGUGGUUCGGACAUGUAGAGAGAAUGGAGCGAAACAGAAUGACUUCAAGAGUGUAUCAGUCUGUAGUGGAAGGAAGGCCUAGGAAAGGUUGGAGGUAAAGGAGGUUUUGUGUGCGAGGGGCUUGGACUUCCAGCAGGCGUGCGUGAGCGUGUUUGAUAGGAGUGAAUGGAGACAAAUGGUUUUUAAUACUUGACGUGCUGUUGGAGUGUGAGCAAAGUAACAUUUGUGAAGGGGUUCAGGGAAACCGGCAGGCCGGACUUGAGUCCUGGAGAUGGGAAGUACAGUGCCUGCACUCUGAAGGAGGGGUGUUAAUGUUGCAGUUUAAAGCACCCUUCUGGCAAGACAGUGAUGGAGUGAAUGAUGGUGAAAGUUUUUCUUUUUCGGGCCACCCUGCCUUGGUGGGAAUCGGCCAGUGUGAUAAAAAAAAAAAAAAAUAUUAUAUAAAUAAUUUGUAACUUUUAUUCACACAAAAAAUAUAAGAUUCACCGUUAUUCCUUAUUGCAAUAAUUGUAUAAAUAAUGUCAACCCAUUCACGGCUGCAUAUUGAAACAGCCAAGCAAUGGACCAUUUCUCCUAGGUUGAGCUCUAUUUCAAGGUACUUUUCAUUGUGAAAGCAAUCAAAAUCAUAUCUAUUUCUGUAAUAUAUCUUCCUUUCUAUCAAAUGAGACCAAAAAAACGAGAAUACAACCAUAAAAACCAUUCAAAAUUACCACUAAGGGGUGGCUAAUUGCUGAGAAGUGAACUCCAUUACUUAUGCUUAGAUUUCUUUCAUUUUUGGUGUAUGUUAAGAAGGAUCUUUCCACCAUACAUUGCCCAAGUUUCAAUAAGAUAGUCCAACAAACAAGAGAUACAAUUCCCGAGAUCAAGAACAAGAGCCCCUCACCAGUGUCAAAGAACCUGCCUUGAGGUCUGCUCGCUUGUGGAAAUUUUGCUCGUGUAUGGAAGCAAACAAUCGACCCAUCAACUGCUCGUAUUUGGAAAAACUCGCAUGUGGACACGCUCACAAGUAGAGGUUCCACUGUACCAAGGUUAUUAGCAUCUGAAAUUGAAGAGAAUCUUUUUAAGGUGACACCAAAAGUAUGAAAUUUGAUGGAAAACUCACAGAAUUAUGCAGGUGCAAAGUUAGCAUUCUCAGUGCAGUUUCUCCCAUUGAGUCCUAUUUUAGGCCAAUUCCAUUGUUCCAGUCUACCAAAUUCUUAGCUAUUUCACUAGUAUGCCUUCCAUUCUACCAAGCACAAGAAACUGUCCAUUCAACUAUCCUAUAAAGUGAUCAGAAUUCAGUAAUUUGGCAUCCCAAUAACUGAAUCAGACCUAUUAAAACCCCAUAAAACAGAUUUGAGGUUGUAGGAGGUCCUACCAUCCUGUGGAAUAUCAGCAAAAACUGAAUAUUUCCCCUGCUUUAAGCUCAACUUCAAGCUACUUACUGUCCUGAAACCAAUCAUCUCUAUUUCAAUAUAUAAAAUACCAAGAAACAGCCAAUGAACCCAUAAAAAUCAUCAGAGAACACACCUCAAAUUCACCAUUUUAAACCAUGCUCACAGUCAUUUUGUUUUUCCCAUCAUGCACCACAUGAGGCAGGAUUUUUUACAUUGUGCACAUCUACUGCAGAGACCCAUUCUCUCGUAUCUAUACCAAAAUUUACCACUCACAGCUUACCUGAGUGAACUGAGCUCAAGACUACGGCAGGUGCCCUAGUAGGGGAAACAGAGAGAGAUCUCUGAGCAUUAGGAUCAGGAACACGAGUGCCUGCUACAGGCAAUGACUAAAAACGAGUGUGUCUGUGGCAUGCAAAGAGUACGUAACCUUUAUUCGGCGCAUGUACACACCCUCAUUUACAGGCUAUCUCCCCCAACCAGCAAACCAGGUGACUGAGAGUUGACGAUGGGGCCCCGUCAUUCAACCAGUACCCAGGUUCCAGCCAAUGAGAAGAUGGUUUUGGCAAUCGCAGAGGUUAUGUGGGUACCACUCUCCUGUCUGCCCUUGUCAUUCCCAUUCUAGAGCUGGUUGAAGCAUGGUCUGCUCUCUAGUGGUUUCUAUUCUGCCUUGCUUACCAUGGAGUGCACUAAUACCUAUCACUGUACAUAGUGUAUAUAGUGUACAUACUUCUGUUCUAAAUUGGUGAAGGAUAAUAUAAGUCAAAAGUUU
Cherax quadricarinatus is the source of this 8287-nucleotide long non-coding RNA. RefSeq lists it as uncharacterized. NCBI's taxonomy places the organism in Eukaryota, Metazoa, Arthropoda, Malacostraca, Decapoda, Parastacidae. The record is from RefSeq and is a predicted model, not a curated record.